GGAAUAUUGGACAAUGGGCGCAAGCCUGAUCCAGCCAUGCCGCGUGUGUGAAGAAGGCCUUCGGGUUGUAAAGCACUUUCAGCGGGGAGGAAGGGUGUUGUGUUAAUAGCACAGCAUUUUGACGUUACCCGCAGAAGAAGCACCGGCUACCUCCGUGCCAGCAGCCGCGGUAAUACGGAGGGUGCAAGCGUUAAUCGGAAUUACUGGGCGUAAAGCGCGCGUAGGCGGUUUGGUAAGUCGGUUGUGAAAGCCCCGGGCUGAACCUGGGGAUUGCAGUCGAUACUGUCUGACUAGAGUAUGGUAGAAGGAAGUGGAAUUUCCGGUGUAGCGGUGAAAUGCGUAGAUAUCGGAAGGAACACCAGUGGCGAAGGCGACUUCCUAGGCCAAUACUGACGCUGAGGUGCGAAAGCGUGGGGAGCAAA
Molecule: ribosomal RNA, 422 nt
Filed under: uncultured bacterium
Lineage: Bacteria
Description: bacterial SSU rRNA
Rfam family: Bacterial small subunit ribosomal RNA
Source: RNAcentral